GCCCGCUUGGCUCAGCGGUAGAGCGCAUCACUAGUACCCCUGCAAUAGCAACGCUAUGAUGAGGUCGUCGGUUCGACUCCGUCAGUGGGCA
Molecule: non-coding RNA, 91 nt
Organism: Lineolata rhizophorae
Lineage: Eukaryota; Fungi; Ascomycota; Dothideomycetes; Lineolatales; Lineolataceae
Source: the annotation of a GenBank genome assembly